GUCCAGAGAACCAGCGAAGAGCCCCGGCUAGCUGGUCGACAACCCCUCACGUGCGAGGGGUGCCCCGGGUGACGACCAGGCCUCAAUUGGCAAGCGAAG
Molecule: non-coding RNA, 99 nt
Filed under: Flaviflexus massiliensis
Lineage: Bacteria; Bacillati; Actinomycetota; Actinomycetes; Actinomycetales; Actinomycetaceae
Description: S-adenosyl methionine (SAM) riboswitch
Rfam family: SAM (S-adenosyl methionine) riboswitch aptamer
About the family: SAM-IV is a mRNA element that regulates gene expression via direct sensing of S-adenosylmethionine (SAM or AdoMet). SAM-IV riboswitches share conserved nucleotide positions with the previously described SAM-I riboswitches sequence analysis and molecular recognition experiments suggest that SAM-I and SAM-IV riboswitches share similar ligand binding sites, but have different scaffolds.
Source: RNAcentral